UACGGGGGGAGCAAGCGUUGUUCGGAUUUACUGGGCGUAAAGGGCGCGUAGGCGGCGUGAUAAGUCACUUGUGAAAUCUCCGGGCUUAACUCGGAACGGUCAAGUGAUACUGUCGUGCUAGAGUACAGAAGGGGCAACUGGAAUUCUCGGUGUAGCGGUGAAAUGCGUAGAUAUCGAGAGGAACACCUGCGGCGAAGGCGGGUUGCUGGGCUGAUACUGACGCUGAGGCGCGAAAGCCAGGGGAGCGAACGGG
Molecule: ribosomal RNA, 253 nt
Filed under: uncultured bacterium
Lineage: Bacteria
Description: partial 16S ribosomal RNA
Rfam family: Bacterial small subunit ribosomal RNA
Source: RNAcentral